UACGUAGGGUGCAAGCGUUAAUCGGAAUUCCUGGGCGUAAAGCGUGCGCAGGCGGUUGUGUAAGACAGAUGUGAAAUCCCCGGGCUCAACCUGGGAACUGCAUUUGUGACUGCACAGCUGGAGUGCGGCAGAGGGGGAUGGAAUUCCGCGUGUAGCAGUGAAAUGCGUAGAUAUGCGGAGGAACACCGAUGGCGAAGGCAAUCCCCUGGGCCUGCACUGACGCUCAUGCACGAAAGCGUGGGGAGCAAACAGG
Molecule: ribosomal RNA, 253 nt
Filed under: uncultured bacterium
Lineage: Bacteria
Description: partial 16S ribosomal RNA
Rfam family: Bacterial small subunit ribosomal RNA
Source: RNAcentral